GGAGAGGUGGCAGAGUGGCCGAUUGCACCGGUCUUGAAAACCGGAGUACCCGCAAGGGUACCCAGGGUUCGAAUCCCUGCCUCUCCGC
This 88-nucleotide transfer RNA is filed under the name Caulifigura coniformis. RNAcentral's name for it is "Planctomycetes bacterium Pan44 tRNA-Ser". It matches the Rfam family "tRNA". Rfam says of the family: Transfer RNA (tRNA) molecules are approximately 80 nucleotides in length. Lineage: Bacteria; Pseudomonadati; Planctomycetota; Planctomycetia; Planctomycetales; Planctomycetaceae. The record is from RNAcentral.